ACACUGCCUUUCUAGCGCGGCCGCGCCAUGGGCGGGGCGCCCGCGCCAGUUGCAGCGCGCCCGCGCCAUGGGCGGCGCGCCCGCCCCGUUCCGCCAGAAUUAAAAAAAAAAACUGCUGCCUUUAUAUGCAAUUUUCAGCUCGUUUUUUUUACACACCCAGCCACAACAUCCUUUCCUCAGCCGAUUUCUAACCUCCCAAAACCCAAUUUCAGAAUCCCAUUAGUUUAUAAACACAUAAACUCCUCUUUUAAUCCAAUCUCUUCCAUAUAUAUACACUACACCUAUAUAUACACAAAAUCCCUAAUUCUCUCAAACCUUCGACCAAGCUUCAAAACUUCAAUCCAUGGCACCUAAGAGAGCAAGGAGGGCAGUGAGUUCGAGUGUUCAAGCCGGAUCGACGGAUUCUUCUAGUUCGGGGUAUGGUGCUAUCAAUUUCACAACUCCGG
RNAcentral lists this long non-coding RNA (446 nucleotides) under Daucus carota (carrot). RNAcentral describes it as "long non-coding RNA (DCAR_LNC007605)". The record is from RNAcentral. Lineage: Eukaryota; Viridiplantae; Streptophyta; Magnoliopsida; Apiales; Apiaceae.